CCAAGGAGUUUAGCGUGUGCGCGAGUCAUUGGGUGGAAAACCUAAAGGCGGAAUGAAAGUAAAGGAAACUCGCUUUCUGAGGGAGGAUGGGUUACCUGCCUUUACAGGCGGUGCCCCGCACUCCCGGGGCGUCUCUUUCUCAUUACGAGUGGAGGCGCACCUAUAGCGUACACGCUGAUACCCGAAAGAUGGUGAACUAUGCCUGGCCAGGACGAAGCCAGGGGAAACCCUGGUGGAGGUCCGCAGCGAUUCUGACGUGCAAAUCGAUCGUCGGAGCUUGGUAUAGGGGCGAAAGACCAAUCGAACCAUCUAGUAGCUGGUUCCCUCUGAAGUUUCCCUCAGGAUAGCUUGCGCUCGGUUGAGACGAGUCUCAUCCGGUAGAGCGAAUGAUUAGAGGCCUUGGGGUCGAAACGACCUCAACCUAUUCUCAAACUCCAAAUAGAUGAGAUCCCCGGCUUGCUUGAAAGUGAAGCCGGGACUCGGAUCAGAGUGCC
Molecule: ribosomal RNA, 494 nt
Filed under: Nabis sp. S151
Lineage: Eukaryota; Metazoa; Arthropoda; Insecta; Hemiptera; Nabidae
Description: eukaryotic LSU rRNA
Rfam family: Eukaryotic large subunit ribosomal RNA
Source: RNAcentral